GGACCGGUGGGUGAGUUGGCUGAAACCACGUCCCUGCUAAGGACGCGUAGCCGCGAGGUUACCGAGGGUUCGAAUCCCUCCCUGUCCGCCA
Molecule: transfer RNA, 91 nt
Filed under: Helicobacter fennelliae
Lineage: Bacteria; Pseudomonadati; Campylobacterota; Epsilonproteobacteria; Campylobacterales; Helicobacteraceae
Description: tRNA-Ser(gct)
Rfam family: tRNA
About the family: Transfer RNA (tRNA) molecules are approximately 80 nucleotides in length.
Source: RNAcentral